This 375-nucleotide ribosomal RNA is filed under the name uncultured bacterium. RNAcentral describes it as "bacterial SSU rRNA". It matches the Rfam family "Bacterial small subunit ribosomal RNA", at positions 524 to 898 of the family's 1533-position model. The record is from RNAcentral.
UACGGAGGGUGCAAGCGUUAAUCGGAAUUACUGGGCGUAAAGCGCACGUAGGCGGUAAGUUAAGUUGGAUGUGAAAGCCCCGGGCUCAACCUGGGAAUUGCAUUCAAAACUGGCUCGCUAGAGUAUGUGAGAGGGGGGUAGAAUUCCAAGUGUAGCGGUGAAAUGCGUAGAGAUUUGGAGGAAUACCGGUGGCGAAGGCGGCCCCCUGGACAAAGACUGACGCUCAGGUGCGAAAGCGUGGGGAGCAAACAGGAUUAGAUACCCUGGUAGUCCACGCCGUAAACGAUGUCUACUAGCUGUUCGUGGUCUUGUACCGUGAGUAGCGCAGCUAACGCACUAAGUAGACCGCCUGGGGAGUACGGUCGCAAGAUUAAA